Molecule: RNA transcript, 3730 nt
Organism: Hevea brasiliensis (rubber tree)
Lineage: Eukaryota; Viridiplantae; Streptophyta; Magnoliopsida; Malpighiales; Euphorbiaceae
Gene name: villin-4
Exons: 24
Source: RefSeq, a predicted model, not a curated record
CUCUCUCUCUCUCUCUCUCUCUCUCUCCUUUUCCCUCUUUUCUCUCUCUAGCUUUUCUCUCUCUAAACUUUAUUUGCUAUUCUUCUUCUUAGCCCCACUUCUCUCUCUCUCUCUCCCACCUUUUUCUCUCUGUACCAGCUUUUCUCUGCCUCUGCCAGUCCGGGAAAAUUAGAAGAAAAAUAAAAAAGCUAGUUCUCUCCUAAUUCCGGUCAUUAGAUUGGAUCUGGGCUGCUUGUUUAUUGCGAUAUCUCCUCCAAUAUUGCGAUAUCUCCUCCAAUAGCAGGGCACUCUUGUUUCUGUAAUCAAGCCAAAGUGUUGGAAAUACAAAUAACUGAAGUGCAGAUACAAUAUGGCUGUUUCCAUGAGAGAUCUGGAUCCAGCUUUCCAAGGAGCUGGACAGAAGGCGGGACUUGAAAUAUGGCGGAUUGAAAACUUUCGUCCUGUUCCCAUCCCAAAGUCUUCUUAUGGCAAAUUUUUCACGGGCGACUCCUAUGUUGUUUUGAAGACAACUUCCCUAAAAAGUGGUGCUUUACGCCAUGAUAUUCAUUAUUGGCUGGGUAAAGAUACCUCGCAGGAUGAAGCAGGUGCUGCUGCCAUCAAAACAGUUGAACUUGAUGCAGCGCUUGGAGGUCGUGCCGUACAGUACCGUGAAGUACAGGGCCAUGAAACAGAGAAGUUCCUAUCUUAUUUUAAACCGUGUAUUAUACCUCAAGAAGGUGGUGUUGCAUCUGGGUUCAAACAUGCUGAAGCUGAAGAACACCAGACCCGCUUGUUUGUCUGCAAAGGAAAACACGUUGUUCAUGUAAAAGAGGUUCCUUUUGCUCGAUCCUCACUAAGCCAUGAUGAUAUUUUUAUUCUUGAUACCAAGUCAAAAAUUUUUCAAUUUAAUGGUUCCAAUUCAUCUAUCCAAGAGAGAGCUAAAGCUUUAGAAGUAGUCCAGUACAUUAAGGAUACUUAUCAUGAUGGAAAGUGCGAGGUAGCUGCCAUUGAGGAUGGGAAAUUGAUGGCUGAUGCUGACACUGGGGAAUUCUGGGGUUUCUUUGGCGGUUUUGCUCCACUUCCUAGGAAAACAACAACUGAUGAGGAUAAGAUAGCUGAUUCUCCUACUAAGCUGUUUUGGGUUGAGAAGGGGCAGGCAGAACCUGUUGAUACAGAUUCUUUGACAAGGGAAUUACUAGACACAUACAAGUGCUAUAUUCUAGAUUGUGGAUUGGAAGUGUUUGUAUGGAUGGGGAGAAAUACCUCACUUGAUGAAAGAAAGGUUGCAAGUGGAGCUGCAGAGGAGUUAGUCCGUGGAGCUGAUCGACCAAAGUCCCACAUUAUUCGUGUAAUCGAGGGUUUCGAGACAGUGAUGUUUCGGUCAAAGUUUGAAUCAUGGCCAGAGACAACUGAUGUAGCUGUGUCUGAGGAUGGUAGAGGCAAAGUUGCAGCACUUCUAAGACGGCAGGGGGUAAAUGUCAAGGGCCUUUUGAAAGCUGCUCCUGCAAAGGAAGAACCUCAACCGUAUAUUGAUGUCACAGGAAAUCUGCAGGUUUGGCGUGUGGAUGGCAAGGACAAGGUUCUCCUUGACGCUUCAGAUCAUUCAAAAUUUUACGGUGGAGACUGCUAUAUUUUUCAAUAUUCAUAUCCAGGAGAAGACAAGGAGGAAUAUCUUAUAGGAACAUGGUUUGGGAAGAAGAGCGUUGAGGAGGAAAGAGCUUCUGCUAUUUCACUAGCAAGCAAGAUGGUUGAAUCAUUAAAGUUUCUGCCCUCCCAGGCUCGCAUCUAUGAAGGAAAUGAACCAAUUCAGUUCCUUACAAUCUUGCAGAGCUUUAUUGUUUUUAAGGGUGGUCUUAGCACUGGAUACAAGAAUUAUAUUGCGGAGACGGAACUCCCAGAUGAGACAUAUAAGGAGGACAGCGUUGCAUUAUUCCGGGUUCAGGGUUCUGGACCAGAUAAUAUGCAAUCAAUACAAGUUGAACCAGUUGCAUCGUCACUGAAUUCCUCUUACUGUUACAUAUUGCACAAUGACUCCUCUGUAUUUACAUGGUCUGGAAACCUUACAACUUCAGAUGACCAUGAACUUGUGGAAAGGCAGUUGGAUCUGAUAAAGCCAAAUGUACAGUCCAAGCCACAAAAGGAAGGUUCAGAAUCUGAGCAAUUUUGGGAUCUGUUAGGAGGAAAAACUGAAUAUCCCAGCCAAAAAAUUGGAAGGGAAGCUGAAAAGGAUCCUCGCCUUUUCUCUUGCACAUUCUCAAACGGAAAUCUGAAGGUGGCUGAGAUAUACAACUUUACCCAAGAUGAUUUGAUGACUGAAGACAUAUACAUCUUGAAUUGUCACUCCGAGAUCUUUGUCUGGGUAGGGCAAGAGGUUGACUCCAGGAGCAAAUUGCAUGCUUUAACUAUUGGAGAGAAAUUUCUUGAAAAUGAUUUUCUGUUGGAAAAGUUAUCUCGUGAAACUCCCAUAUACAUUGUUAUGGAAGGGAGUGAGCCACCUUUCUUCACACGUUUCUUUGAAUGGGACUCUGCAAAAUCUGCUAUGCAUGGAAACUCAUUCCAGAGAAAGCUUGCAAUUGUCAAAAAUGGGGGUACUCCUAUUGUAGAUAAACCCAAACGAAGAACACCUGUAUCCUAUGGAGGAAGGUCUAGUGUGCCAGAAAAAUCUCAACGUUCCAGAAGCAUGUCUUUCAGUCCUGAAAGAGUUCGUGUCAGGGGCAGGUCGCCGGCUUUCAGUGCCCUGGCUGCUAAUUUUGAGAACCCUAAUGCCAGGAACCUUUCAACCCCACCACCAGUUGUCAGAAAGCUUUAUCCAAGAUCUGUGACCCCAGAUUCAGCAAAACAGGCUUCCAAAUCUGCAGCUAUAACGGCGCUUAGUGCAUCUUUUGAACAACCGCCACCAGCAAGACAAGUUAUCAUGCCUCGGUCUGUCAAAGCGAGCCCUGAAAGACCGAAAUCAACUCCUGAAAAAUCAACACCUGAGUCAAACAAUAAGGAGAACUCUAUAAGCAGCAGAAUAGAAUCCCUCACCAUACAGGAGGAUGUGAAGGAAGGUGAAGUUGAGGAUGAGGAAGGCCUCCCAAUAUUUCCAUAUGAACGCCUUAAAAUUAGCUCAACAGAUCCUGUUACUGAAAUUGAUGUGACAAAGCGAGAGACUUACCUCUCAUCAGCAGAGUUCAGGGAGAAAUUUGGGAUGGCAAAGGAUGCCUUUUAUAAGAUGCCAAAAUGGAAACAGAACAAACUUAAAAUGGCCCUUCAAUUGUUCUGAGUCUCCUUCAUAUCUCUGCUUUUCCUUAAGCUUCCUGCAGCCUGAGCUGCAGGUGGAAGAAAGCUUAUUUGUGAAUCUUGAAGGGAGCUCAGUUUUUCAGAAGUGAAAGGGACAGCAUCAGUGCAUUUUUAGCUGCUUCUGGUCCCGGGAAGCUUGUUUUCUUGAUUGAUGGACAAGACCAGAGAUUUUUUCCCCAUUUUUCUGUUUUCCAUCUGUUGGUUUGAACUUCUAGCCUUAUAAAAAUUUCCCCCUCUUUUUGGUUGAGUUAGUUGUUUGGUAUUGUUUAUGGUCACAGGUUUGUUGUGAGCUUGCAUUUUUGUUUUUCAUUUUUCAAUUGAAAAUUUGUUCUGUAGUGAUUAGGUGAUUGUGAAUGCAGACAGUUUAGGAUGUAAUGUACAACUGAGGAUGGAAUUAUGUACAGCAGAGUGUAAAAAGGCAGUCCAUUCAUCAUUUCAUUUGUUUUUAAUAAAAGUGUGCUUAUAUAUA